This 16332-nucleotide long non-coding RNA is filed under the name Vitis vinifera (wine grape). RNAcentral describes it as "long non-coding RNA (VVIN_LNC005789)". Lineage: Eukaryota; Viridiplantae; Streptophyta; Magnoliopsida; Vitales; Vitaceae. The record is from RNAcentral.
GAGCCAAUACCCUAGCUCCCUUUGUAACCUUCCAAGUACCACCAACAAAUAGUAUUGCAUGUCCUUCAUCAUCAAGUUGUCCAACAGAAAUCAGAUUCCUCCUCAGGUCAGGAAUAUGUCGAACCUUCUCCAGUAACCAAACAGACCCAUUGGGCAACGAUAUCCGGACAUCUCCUAGACCCACAACAUCCAAGGCUGAACCAUCAGCCAAAUACACCUUACCAAAAUCACCUGCAACAUAAUUCUGUAUGAUUUCUCGGUGUGGAGUGGUAUGAAACGAAGCUCCUGAAUCCAAAACCCAAUCAUCAAGUGGACUGUCUACUGUAAGAAGUAAUGCAUCCUGUACCUCUUCUGUUACAGCAUUAGCAGAAUCAUCUUCAUUCUUCUUCUUAGGGCUUUUGCAUUGCCUUUUAAAGUGACCUGUUUUCCCACAAUUCCAGCAUUGUACUUGUUGGCCUGAUCUAGAUUUGCUUCUGUUCCGAUUAGAAUUUCUGGAAUUUGAUCUACCUUGAUUUGUAUUUCUGUUAUUACCUCUACCUCUUGUCUCAAGGUUUAGGGCAGAACCAGAUCCUGAGGUUUCACCUGCAUCUCUUCGGCGAAUCUCCUCAGCCAGAAUUAAAUCUCGUAUAUCAUUGUACUUGAGCUUUUCUUUUCCCGUAGAAUUGCUUACUACCAUCCUCAUUGCCUCCCAACUGUUUGGCAAAGAAGCCAAGACGAUCAGAGCACGAAUCUCAUCAUCAAAAUCAAUUUCUACAGACGACAAUUGAUUUGUGAUUGUAUUAAAUUCAUUCAGAUGUUGUGCUACUGAUGCAUUCUCUGUCAUCUUCAAAUUGAACAAUUUCUUCAUCAGAUGCACCUUAUUGUUUGCGGACGGCUUUUCAUACAUACCGGACAAAGCCUUCAUCAAAUCUGCUGUGGUCUUCUCCUUUACAACAUUGUGUGCAACAAACCUAGACAGAGUUAACCUAAUAACUCCUAGAACCUGUCUGUCAAGAAGCGCCCAUUCCUCAGCCUUCAUACUCUCAGGUUUUGUCCCCAAAAGAGGCAGAUGCAAUUUCCUCCCAUAGAGAUAAUCUUCAAUCUGCAUCCUCCAAUACGCAAAGUCUGUGCCAUCAAACUUUUCUAUUCCAGACGCCUUUCCUGCUUCCUCUGCCAUUGCUCCCACUCAAACCUAAACCAGGCUCUGAUACCAGUUGUAGGGAAUUAAACCGAAUUCCCAACCCGUGAGAAACAAAAAAAAUUAGAGAAAACACACGCCAAAGAAAAACAAUCACACGCACAAGACAGUAUUUACGUGGUUCGGCAAUUUGCCUACAUCCACGGAGUUGUAGGGAUAUCACUAUUAUCAGGGAAGAAUUCAGAGUACAACAUGGCGGCUACAAUAUUCUCUAUAUAUAUAUAGCACGACAACCCUACCAUACUAAAAAACCCUAAUUACAAAAGGUGGUUCCACAAUGGGCUAAACGAGCCCAACAGGCCUCAAUAAAAUCUCCCAUUAAAAAGCCAUGUAAUAUUAUUCGGGUCGGGUCGUCAAACCGGAUCAAACAAAACUAGGCUCCACAAAGCCCAACACAACCAACGUGGUUUGAAACCUAAGGAAUUAGGUUUUUAUUUGUAUUCUCAUGGAAAAAAUUUCAUUAGCAUUACCACCACCACCACUACCAAUAGCAUUACCACCAUUUCCAUUGUUCAUUUCACCAAAGCCAUGAAAGACGUCAAAGCCAUCGUGUACAUUAUCCAAAUUAGUAAAUUGUUUAAAAUGAAGUUAAAAUAUUUUUGACAAGAAAAGAAAAUAUAGAUGGAAAGCAAAUAAAAUUAGACUUAUACUAUAUUUGGUUCUUAUAAACGUUUGAGCCUUUGUUUGGUUUCAGAAAAUUUGAGAGAAAAUGUAGAAGAAAGAAAAUAUAGAAAAAAAGUAGAAGAAAAUAAAAAAUAGAUUCAAAAUCAAUAAAUUAUUUUUAAAUAUUUUUUCAUGCUCAUUUCAUUUAUUUUUCUCUAUAAAGAUUAAAUAAUUUUAAAAUACAUAAAUUUUUAAUUAAUUUUAAUUAUAAUUAAUUUUAUUUCAUAUUUUUUAAACCAAAUAUUAGAAAACCAUUUUUCUUAACAUUUUUUUUUCUUUAAUAUUUCUCAAGAACCAAACAUAGCCUAAGGGUAAUCAUAAGAAAAAGAAAAUAAAAUGAAAAAUAAAUAACAGGAAAUAAAAAGAAAAAAAUAUUUAAAAUUAAUAAAUUAUUUUUAUAUAUUUUAAAUUCAUUUUACUUAUUUUUUAUUAGAUAAUUUGAAAAUAUAUAAAUUUAUAAUUAAUUUUAAUUAUAUAUAUAUAUAUAUAUAUAUAUAUUCAUAAUAAUUAAAUAUGAGAAAAUAAUUUUCAUUAACAAUUUCUUUUUUAUUUUUUUAUUAUUUUUAAUGAUUUAACAUAACUUUAAACUUUGAAGUUAUAAAUUAUUUUUGUAUUUUUUUUCAGACUCAUUUUAUUUCUUUAUUUUUAUUUAAAUAACUUGGAAAAUGUAUGCGCUUGAAAUAACCCAACAUGAGGGAUCAAUCCUUUGAGGAAUGUAAAACGACGCCGUUUUGAACGUAAACGAUGUCACAUAAGUAAAAGGGCACUCAGGGGAAGCUUGCUAAGGCUGAAGCUGAGGCUCAAUAGCGUGGGAGGAACCCAAAAGGAUGGCGUUCAUGCACCAAACAUUUUCUUCUCCUUCUUGUCCUCUCUUCUAUCGUAAACCCCAUUUCUCCAAAACCCUAAUAAGAUUCUCUGCAACUCCCUCUAGUCCUGUUCCCACUCCUUCCUCUCACUCUUCAUCCCCCAUUUUCCUCCCUUUUCUCCAAGAACAAGACCGAACACUCCAACACCAACGACAGCAGAAGGAAGAAGAAGACGAGGAUCCAAAUGACCCAAUUCUCAGAUUCUUCAAGUCUCGCACUUCAACCCAAGACCCCAGAUUCGAAUCCAAAUUCUCCCUCCAAAAGAAUCGCCGCCCCUCCUGGCGUCUCGCCUCCACCACUGACCCCGAAUCUGACGCCGAAUUCGAUGUCGAGGAGGAAAAAGAGCAAGUGGUUUCGGACUCAUGUACGUCACUCCAGGGCAUUUCUGGUGAAAUUCUUCAUUUUGCAAGGAAUUUGCCUGAGAAUUCAACGUUAGGGGAGGUUUUGGGGCCUUACGUGGGCAGAGUAGGUGAAAGAGAGUGUGUGGAAGUUUUGGGUUUGAUGUGUGAGGAGGAUCUUGUAAUGGGUUGUUUGUAUUUCUUUGAGUGGAUGGGGUUGCAGGAGCCGUCGCUCGUUACCGCUCGAGCCUGCUCGCUUUUGUUUCCGAUGUUGGGGAGAGCAGGCAUGGGUGACGACUUAAUGGUUUUGCUUAGGAAUCUACCGAAGACGAGGCAAUUCAGGGAUGUUCGUAUUUAUAAUUCAGCAAUUUCAGGCUUGUCGUCCUGUGGGAGGUAUAAGAUUUCUAGAACCUUGCUAUCAUAUAUGCUUUAGUCAUCUUUUUCAACGUUAUUUUACAAGUUAGAUUGAUGAUCAGUUUGGCACUUUCGUAGCGGAGAAAAACAUCUUCUAAUUGAUGAGUGUUGGAAUUGUGUCAACUAACUAUUUGCUAGUUACUAGCAAUAGGGGAUUUUAUGACAUCCGGACUUUCUCUGUUUUUGGCAUCCUACAUUAAGGGUGUGUGCCAUUUUUUCAUACGCAGUGUACCUCUUCUGCUAUCUGUUUCGGGUGUAUGAAUUAAGGGUUGUGUCAAAACUUUACCCAAACUUAUUAUUACAUGAUUUGAUGAGGUCUCUCUAAGUUCUAAAUAAAUUGCUUGGCGUUUUAAGAAUAGGGUUUAACUUCCAAAGUGCUCCAACUCAAUAUUCACUUUCUAAUUUCAGGUAUGAUGAUGCUUGGAAGGUGUAUGACGAAAUGGAAACAAAUAAUAUCCGUCCAGAUCAUGUCACAUGUUCUAUUAUGAUUACAGUCAUGAGGAAAGACGGGCAUAGUGCCAAAGAUGCUUGGGAGUUCUUUCAGAGAAUGAACAGGAAAGGAGUUAAAUGGAGUUUGGAAGUCUUGGGUGCUCUUAUAAAAUCGUUCUGUGAUGAGGGGCUGAAGAAUGAGGCCCUUAUAAUCCAAUCAGAGAUGGAGAAGAAAGGGAUCUCUUCAAAUGCUAUUGUGUAUAACACUCUGAUGGAUGCAUACAGUAAAUCCAACCGGGUUGAAGAAGCUGAAGGUCUCUUUGGUGAGAUGAAGGCAAAGGGUGUUAUGCCUACAUCUGCCACCUAUAACAUUCUAAUGGAUGCAUACAGCCGAAGAAUGCAGCCCGAAAUCAUUGAGAAUUUACUGUUGGAGAUGCAGGAUAUGGGCUUGGAGCCAAAUGUCAAAUCAUAUACAUGCCUAAUUAGUGCAUAUGGUAGACAGAAGAAGAUGAGUGACAUGGCUGCAGAUGCAUUCUUGAGGAUGAAGAAAGUAGGUAUCAAACCCACUUCACAUUCUUAUACAGCUCUUAUCCAUGCAUAUUCAGUCGGUGGCUGGCAUGAGAAAGCUUAUACAGCAUUUGAGAACAUGAAAAGGGAAGGAAUAAAACCUUCCAUAGAAACUUAUACUGCUCUACUAGAUGCAUUUAGGCGUGCUGGUGAUACCCAAACACUGAUGAAAAUUUGGAAAUUGAUGCUCAGUGACAAAAUUGAAGGGACACGGGUGACCUUCAACAUUCUUCUUGAUGGAUUUGCUAAACAAGGACACUACAUGGAAGCAAGAGAUGUGAUUUUUGAAUUUGGGAAGAUUGGUUUCCAACCAACAGUGAUGACAUAUAAUAUGCUGAUGAAUGCUUAUGCACGGGGAGGGCAACACUCAAGGUUGCCACAGCUAUUGAAAGAGAUGACGUCCCUCAAUCUAAAACCUGAUUCUAUUACUUAUUCAACAAUGAUCUAUGCUUAUGUUCGUGUUCGUGAUUUCAAGAGGGCAUUCUUUUAUCAUAAGCAGAUGGUGAAAAGUGGACAAGUACCAGAUCCCCAAUCUUAUCAGAAGCUGAGGUCAAUUUUAGAUGUAAAAGCUGCAACAAAGAAUAGGAAGGACAGGAGUGCUAUACUCGGGAUUGUUAAUAGCAACAUGGGUUUGUUGAAACCUAAGAAAGGAAAGAAAGACGAGUUCUGGAAGAACAAGAAGGGGCAAAGGAGAAUUCAAAGUUUUGCUCACGAUGGAUAGUGGUAUCGCAAUUCUUGGAAUGUUAACAUCAUAAAAUGGAAGGUUCUGCAAAGUAAGACCCAAAUUGUUUUCCUCUGCUUCAUGGACAUCAAAUUUCAGGUUGUCAUUUAGUGGCUUGUGAUUUGUAUAAUAGUUUUUGGAUGGUUAUGAGACAGUUCUUCCAUAUCACGGGACUGUAGAUGCUGCUGAGAAAGGAAAGCAUACACCCACUUCAGCUUUAAUGAUGAAAACCUUCACAUGAACCUUAUCAUCAUUUCACAAACAAUAACAUUUGCGGCGUUGAGUCUCUUUGCAAUACACCAGUUACACCACAAGGUAAGAAUUUAUCUUGAUUGUUUGAUGUCUGUUAAAAAAUUCUUUGUGAAACAAGAAGUUUUGCUUCAGUAUACCUGUUUGUGAUGUACAGAUCAUGUUAUUCGGUAUCGUCUUUGUUCACUGUUUGAUGUAUGUAUGAAAAAAAAUAUUGUUGCCCAAUUCCUUGGCUAAAAAACUUUGUAUCAGCUUUACUUUAUAUUUUAAAUUUUCUUUUAACUUCCCUGAUUUGGUCCAUGUCUUUCAUAAACAUGAAGAUGCCAAUUAGCCCAUCUGGCAAAAGUCAAAUUGUGUUGAGUAAAGAUAAGGUGGAAUUUCUUAGCCAACAUGUUCUAACCUUAUUUGUUCAUUUAUACUUUUGGUUAUUAUCAUUUCAUGCAUGGGCUAAAUAUUAAAAAUGGUUUACUUUGUCUCAUUUAAGAGGUUGCAUUUAUUCCAUUUUGGCAGGAUUUCCUCCAUAAGGGAGAGACAAGUGUGGCUCAUAUACUUGGAAAGCUACUUUGCUACUAUAUUAUAUUACCAAGUAUUGAGAUUCUCUUAUCUCUGAGAAAAGGAUUUUGUGGCAAACAGCUUAAAAGUUGACAAAGAAAUAAUUUGGUUCCAGUUAUUGUGUGUUACUUGCAUAAUAUCUAGACACAAAAAAUAUAUGGAAACGGUCAUGCUAUGGCUAGUCAUUCUUGUUUGUUCCAUGGCGUCCCACAUCCAGAUGUCAAUGGAAGCAACUAACAGUUUUUUAAUAUCAUCGCUGUUCUAAAAGUAAAUUUAUUAUUUGCAUCCUCACAAGGCAAUUUGCCAUGAUUCUUACUCCUCAUGUACUUCAUAUUUCAUUAUGGUUAUGAUGCUUAGUUCUGGAUGCUGAAUAUGUAGAUAUAAUUCACUGUGGAAGCUGAAAAAUAAACUUUGUUACUAAUUGUUUGAUAGUGAAUACCAAGAGAACAUGGAUUGUAAAAAUCAGUGUUAGUCGUGUUCAUAUUGCAUAUUGAUUGUCCUUUCAUUCUCAGUUUCCCUCAUCCCUUUUCUAUUUUUUAAUAUUCUCUCUGCCAUCACAUUUAUUACCUGUAAACAAGUGAAUCUGCAUCUCUAUGAGAAAACAGGGAUUUUCAUGUGCAUCUAUACCUUUACCUUUGGGACUUUUACAGUUUUAUCUUUAUUCUUGCAAUACAUGGAUGCAGUUACCAGGAUAAGAUAUUUCUAAAUUGACAGGGCUGACAUUUGGUCCGUUUUUCCAAACUUGGCAUAAAUACCUCUCAACGACAACGUAGACAUGAAAAUUAUUAUGUGCAAGUUAUAACUGUUCAUGACCAAAAUGAGAUCCUCUUGCUUUUUAGUAAGACUAUAGUCAAAAUGACAUUUAGGCCAUUUAAAGUAUUAUAAAAUGGUCUCUAACAGGUUGUCUUAUAUUAAUUCAAAUGACAAAGUUUGAAAACAGAGAACAAUUAAAUUCAAGAACAUGACAUUUGGGUAUAAAAUGACAUCAUUGUUCUAAUUAAAACCAUCAAACAGGAAAUGAUGCAGCUUUGGGUGUAUGCAGUAUGAUUUAGAUGUAGUAAUUUUUUUUUUCCAAAGAAACCGUAAUCAACUAAAAGAAUGUUUGACCAUGUGCGUACAGAUGGUGGAUGGAUCUAAUAUGUCCUCAGUUGUUGAACUUGUUUGAUCCUCAAUUGCUGAUCCCUGCUCAUUCACCAUAUGAAGUCUCUUUUUCCUAUAUUGAGAAUGUCAUUUUGGUAUUCUUUAUGAAUUUUCCACUUUCAAUUGUUAACUAGGUGUCCCGAGGGCUCCCAAUAUCACUUCAAGGGAAGCAUUUUCUUUGCUAUCUUGUUCUACAUUAUCUCAUUUAAUAAUUUUGUCGGUUGCUCCUCUCUAGGCCCUGCUGGUGUGUAGAGACACCGUAUAUAUAUUUAUCAUUAUCCUUUUGGGCGUUCAUGCAUUUAUGCUAAAUACCCUAUAUUGUUUGGCUUUCUCAAAGUUGAGCUCAUGAUUUCAUUUAUCUUGUCUUCAACCAGAUCUAUUAUAUUGUCUUGUCUUUUUUGUUUGACAGAUUCAUGUCAAGAAAUGCUUCAUCACACGAACUAACGGAGAAGGCAACUGUAUGUGAGUUCCAUGUUGGUGCCACCACAUCAAACUCAAUCAAGCCUACCCUACCAGACUUGGAUUCUUUUGCCAUGGAACGACCUCAUUUGCACCGCCCCAAGUAUGGGGUUUCAUGCCCAAAAAGCCCAUUGUAUGGGAUAAGUUCAUGACUAGCAUUAUGGAUGAAUUGAAUGGUUUUUGUGACUUUAAACAUAUAAAACUAUUAUACAUCAAGUACAUAUGGAACAUAUUAGCCAUUUCUUCCAUGUAUGGCUAGUCAAAUGCUUAGAAUAUAGUAUUAUUCUGUGGGCCUUGUGUUUGCUUUCAAUGAAAUAGAUUACCAUUUCCUGCCGACCUUCAACUUCUGUAUGCAGCCAGGGUCAGACUGCAUUGCUUUUCUUCCUUGUUUGAGCAUAUUAACUGAAUAUUUUGGCCCUGGGUCUAGCUCAGGGUAUUACCCUCUUGGCAAUCUAUCAGUAGUUCUUGUAUUUUAAGUGGUUUAGGGUAAAGGGGUGUCUCUAUUUCAUUUGUCUAUUUCAUUUGAGGUUUGCUUCAUUGGUAGUUACAACAAAUGUCCCGCCAUGUCUACUAAAAGCACUUCUAGUACAAAAUUAGUCAAUAAAAUUCAUAAAAACACAUUUAAAAGAGUUGAAAAAUCGUUUGUACUUUGUACUAUCUUUCUUUUGAGAAACGUAUGAUUGAUGAUUCUCCUAAAAAUAUUUUUAGCCAAAAUAUUUUCAUAAAAAAACAUUAUGAAAUAGACUUCAAAUAAAUUACUAUCGAAUUUCCUUUUAUUUAUUUAUUUAUUUAUUAUUUCCUUUUUAUGUGAGCAUAGAAGUAGAAUGGAUGAGAAGGAAGAGAUGGAGAAGAUGACAAGUGAUUAGACACAUAGAUACCUCUCUUAUCUUUGUUAAUAAUUCUUCACCCAUAUCUUACUUUGAAAAAGACAAAUCUAUGAGCUUAUGGUCAAACCUACUUACACUUUGUUUUUAAUAUAAUUAACCAAAUAUGGGUCUUUGAAGUGUUCAUUAGUUUCUUGACAAUCAUGGGAAAAGAAAGAAAUUCAUUGAACAUCUAGAAAAAAAACUAUUCCAUUUUGAGGAGAAGAACUGAUUUUUAAAUUGAGUAAUUGAUUUGAUUUUUAUGAUAAAGAAAAUUGAUAAGUUUUUUUAAGGGUUUUUCAUCAAUUUCAUAAAUAUUUCUUACAACAAUUAUUCAAAGCAUAUUUAAUUUUUUUUCCUUUAUCAACUUUGACUAAAAUAUCAAUUCAAAAAUACAAAUAUCUUUUGGAAAAUGUCUUUUUAAUAAAAAUAAUGCCAUAUUUUUGUUUUUGAUAUUCACGAGAAAAUAAAAUUGAAAUCAAAAUCAUGAUUUUAACAAUUUAAGGAAAUGUCUUUUUGUAAUGGAUGACCCUCCAAACCAUAAUUCAUUGAUAUACAUAUAGAUCUGGAUGAUUGAUGAAAGAUAGUGUGACUAUAAAUUUCUAGAUUUACUUUCUUGAUUUAUUUUUCCUUAACUGACAUUGGAAAUAUCUAGAUGACCUUCUUUCUAAUUUGGUUGUGGGAUAAGAUAAAUAGUUAUUAGGUUUUAAAUUUAAGGAUAAUCCGCCAAUAAUAAAGUAAAAGACAUUAAAAAAAGUCUUAUAUAUGAUUUAUCGGCUUUAGAGAGUAUUUGAUAAUGUUUUUAAUAAAAGUUUUUUUUUUUAAGUAUUUUUAAAAUAAUCACUUAUAAAGUGUUUAUCUAAAAGGUAAGUGAUUUUUAAAAUUUUUAAAAAGUUUUCUAAAAUUUUUCAAUUCUUAAUUUCUCUUCAAAAAUAUUUUUUAAAAUUAAAAAUAUUUCUUAAAAUUAUUAUCAAAAGACUCUUAAUAUCCAAAUUUGUAUAUUAAGUUAUUAAAAAAUAAUCUUAAUAAAGUACAAAAUAUUUAAUAAAUAAGCAAAAAAUCAUGUGCAUUUAUCGUUUUCUAACUAAAAUUUUCUACGCACUCGGGCCAAAAUCAUUACCAAUUAAAGAAACUAUAUUUCUUAUCCGGUUAAACAACUAACUAAAAACAAAUUUGGACGGAAAAAUCACCUAUUUUUUUUUUUUCAAAAACAAAAGCCAAAUGACUAAAAACUCCAAUCCUAUAACUCGUCAAAUGGGGGCCAAUUCAGUAAUUUAAACUAUAGAGUAUACUAACCCUAAACCGGGUACCCCUACUGGCCCCAGGUUUAGCUCCGGUUCAGACAGCGCUUCACCGCCAAUGCCACGCGGACAACCGAAACAGAUAUACCCAAAAACCGGUGACGUGUAGAUGUAACCGUAGCCUCCCUAUAAAUACUCCUCAUUCUCAUCCAUUUCCUUUCCAUUUCCCCUAUCUCUCUCUCUACUGUCUCUAUUUCAAUAUUUUCUCCCUACAAUCUUGUUCUAGAUACUCCAGGCCCCGAUCUCAAGUCUCCCGAUCUAGGGUUUCGCCUCUCUCCCUGUCUCUCUCCUCUCUGCUGUUCUAGUUUGGUUCCGGAAAGGGUUUGGGUUUUGGAGAUCCGGUUUGCUUCUCCUGUCUUGGCUCGAGAUCCGGGCCAAGCACAGAAGAAUCGGAUUAGGGUUUCGGUGCCGCUCACUUCCACUUCAUUGAGGUGUUCUAACUCUUUCUAUUUGGAUUUUUUUUUUUUUGGGUUUUUGUCUCUCUUGUGCGCUGUUUGGUUGCUGAGAAAAGAUAGGGAAAUGGAAGGAGUUGAGGAUUUUGUGAUGGAAAGGAUGAAGUUAGUGGAACUGUUUGGUUAUAGUUGAGUGCUAGGGUUUCCUCGGGGACCAGACGUUGGUAGUUUUGUAGUUGAGAUUGAUUGCGGUUACUGUUUUACUGUUCUUGAUCUGAUGGUUGAAAUUUUAUCGGUUGAGUCUAUGUUUAUGGCGGAUGGUUUGAAAUCCUGUUCGUGCUUUGCGAACGGUGAACAGUUGAUAGUCUAAUGCUCUUUUGGCGAUUUUUUUAAACUGUUGUGUAGGGUUUUGUGAGCGGAAAUGGCUUCGAACGAGGGGUUUUUGACGAAUGAACAAAGGGAAACGUUGAAAAUGGCAACACAGAAUGCAGAGGGUUUGUCCUCAUCGCCAAAGUCUCCAACGUCUUUGCUUUCUGAGCAUCAUAUAAAAGUUCCUGUCAGUGGCAAGGCGCCAACGGCUGGAAUUGCUGUGAGGCAUGUGCGUCGCUCACACUCCGGGAAGUUUGUUAGGGUUAAGAAGGGUAAGUAGGCUCAGGACCUUCCUAUUUGUUCUAAUUUAAUUGCUUGAUUAUGUAGUUUUGUGGAGAUUUAGUAGCCCUUGGUAAUUUGUGCAUCCUAGGCUUGUUUCUCGUGGAGAGCAGUGGUAGCUACUUUGAUUCUUUCUAUUACUUUUGGUGCUCUUAGUUGUUGAAUAUUUCCAUUUUCUGCAUUACGAUUUUCUAACUUCUAAUUCAAAAAUCUUUUUACCAUCUUAUGCUAUUAAGCCUGUGAGAUUUGAUAUGAGCUCUGUAAGUUAAGUUGGACAGUAAUUUAUGAUUUCAACAUAUAGUAUAGCAGAAGUAUUUGAGGAUAGUAUCAACUUUGUAGGCUGUUUGGAAGUUCAAUUAUUCCUUUUUGGAUGCUUACAUGGCAUUCAAGAACCUUGUAUCUGCAUUGUAGAAAUAAGACAACUGAUAUGUGGCUAAAUUGGCUUGUGUUUUAUGUGCCUAUGGUUUGGGAAGCUGCAUUUAAUUAUACGUAAUGGAUAUUUCGUUUAUCGUUAUCGUUACGGACAAUUACUUUAAUUUUUGUUUGUAUACAAAGAGAUCUCACUCCCUAUGAAGCAUCCAAGUAUGUCACUUAGUCGGCGGACAUGUCAUGUUUAAGUGCAUGAAUCCUAAUGAUCAUCACUUCCUAUCCUAGCACUAAAACCUAUGCAAUCUGAAUGUGAUAGCAGGAUCAAUUGACUGAUACUGACUCCAUUUUUUUGUUUUAUCAAUAAAUCUCUGGAAAUUUUGUUCUAGAGGAUUGGCGGACUGAAUUUUUUUCCCCUUUCCUUUUACCUUGUCAAAACUUAUCUUCCAUAUAUCAUUUUAUUGUUGCCCUUGAGGUUUGGCUCAAGUGGUAAAGGGAUGGGAAUGGGGAUGGUUUGUGGGAGGUUCCAGGUUCAGGUACCAAUGGUGACAAAAAUUUACCUAUUAAAAAAAAAAUCUCAUAUCAUUUUAUUCUUUUGUAUGUAAUCUUUGGUCUUGGGUUAGGGUGUCUAUAGUUUUGAGCUCUUCUUUUCUUGUAAGUUUCUUAGAUUGGUUAGGCUCUAAGUAAGGGAAGGUGGUGUGUUUCUAUCCUUUCCCCCUCGGAUCGCAUCUUUGGGUUGUUUUUGUAUUCUCUCUGUAUACUUUGAGGGCACUGUUUUUGGUGCUUCCUCUUCUCGUUUAAUAUACAUCCUUUUAUCUAUCAAAAAAAAAAAAUAAAAAAAUAAAAAAUAUGUGAAACAUAUUCCUAGAGUCCAUAGUUUUUUAGAGUUUCUUGAGACAUACAUCAAGAAGAACUAUAUAACGUACUAUUAUGUCGAUAGUGUAUCAUAUGCUCAUGUUUCAAAUUCUUAAGAAUUAGGUACUUGGCCUCAAGACCAUUACUAGACACCUUUAGGCUUGCCUGAUAUUCAUGGUGUGCAACUUGGGGUUGACUGAUAUUAGCAUUAUCAUGGCAAAAUUGAGUUUUAAACUCCAUUUUUGGCUCGGUGGUUGACAUUGGAAAAUUUCAUAUUCUUUUUACUGAAAAAGAUCCUUCUUGAGCUUUAUUUUGUUCUCAAGUAUAUAAGAUGGUUUGGAAAUCUCUUCUUUCGAAACCUUUUUCCAAUCUUUUCAAGGGGUACUGAGAAAUGUUGAAGUCUGCCCAAAAAAUAAAAUAAAAAAUUAUGCAUUAUUUUUCUGUGAUAUCUUUCCAUUUUUGAUGAUAUGGAUGCUUCCAUCUUCUUUUGGAAGUUUCAUCUAUUUUUCUCCAUACCAAAAAUUUUGUUUGAUAAUCUUCUAUAGGCGCUUCAUCUUCAACAUCAUUGUAUACAUGUUCCACCUUUUCAUCAGUAUGAUUACUUCUUUAUUUUUAGUUUUUAAUAGAAAAUAAGGAGAUUGUGAUAUUGGUUGAACAUAUAUUUUGUCCAUUAAUCUUGGUAGCUUGUCUCCAGCUUUGGAUGACAUGUAUCUUAUAGUCCCAUUAAAUUUUAAAAAAACAAAAGUGAAAAUGUGAGUUGUUUCUUUAAGCUUACUAUGAUAAUUUAGUUCAUAAGCAUCAUAGUAUGAUGGUGUGACUCUGUUCAAUAUGUAAACUCUUAGUUUACUGGAAGAUAAUGGAUUAUCAUGAAAGUUGCUGUUACUAGUUCUUAUUGAGGCAAAAAGUUAUUCCAAAAAGUUCUAUCUGAAGUUCAAUUACAUUUUUUUUCUUUAAAAUUUGUACUUCUUUUUAAUAGUUGGGAAUCAUCCCAACAAUGAGACAUAUUCGAUCUGCCAGAAAAACAAACCUAGAUGAUAUGGGCCUGCUCCUUUACCGUAGACCACUUUAAUAUCAAAGGGGCUUAAACUUGGGACCUCUGGUUUGUUUCCAGAGAGCACUGCCCCUGAGCUACACUGGGGCCCUGAAGUUUAACUGCACUUUUAAACCUGUUCACUUCAGGAUGCAAAACCACUUUUCUGAAAAUUGUUCUUUGAACGUUUCUGAGACCAUUUUUAGGUCAUUGAAUUUUUUCCCUUUUUCUCCUUCAUAUUUAUUGACUGUAAUGGUUUGCUUGGCAAGGCUGGAGUAGGAGGAAAGGCAUCAUUGGAAUGGAUGGGAAUUUAAUUUUUAUAUCAUUUGAAGUCUGUUUUAGUUUGAGGAGAAAACUGUUAAUGGAUGAUUCCUCUUGCUUAAAUUCUCCUUAAUGUGGAAAUGAAAUGAAUGCCAUUUUGUUGCCUUUCCAACUUCUUAUUUCAGUCAUAUUUUGCCCUUUGGCUAGUUUGAAGGUUUGUAGAUCUCUCUUACGUACAUUCAUUCCAUGGUCCUAUCUCUUAUGAAUGUAUAUUUCAUGAUCCUCUCUUGAUAUGUAGAUUUCAUGAUCCUUUGAAGUAACAUUUUUUUUUUAAUCAGACUCCUACAUAUUCAUUAAAAAGAUUAAAUUUAUGAUCCUGACCAGCUUCAAAUUGACAAUGGUCGUCUUAUUGUCUUGAGAUUACCCUCAUAAUCUCCAUAUUGGGUUGAUAAACUUUGAAUGGAGCUUGGUUUGAAAUUUUUGUCUGUUAUCAUUAUUACUAAGCAAUGGCCUAAUUUCUCCAUCCCACUGUGAGAUAUUAUUAGUAUCAAAUUACUAGGUUUAUUUGAUAAAUGUUUGUUUCCUUUACAGUCUCCUGUGAUUACUCUUAUAAAUCCUGUAUAAUAAAUUCUCUCCACCUUUUUCUGUGUUAUGUUCCACGUGUGUAGUGUGCAUGCCUUUCUAAUAAUAAGUGAUUAAUUCUUGCAUAACUGGUUUAUUAUGCACCAUGGAAUGCAUUUAACAAUAUAGGUUCCUUAAUUUCCUAAUACUAAUGUGGUCAGCAUCUGUGACGUGAUUUAAAAUUACCAUUUUGGUUGGUUGCUUUCCAAAAAGGAAAAAAAGUUUCUAUUUUCACCGGCCAAUUUAAGAGCUUCCUAAAUCAACAAAAAGAGGGAAGGAGGAAAAGCAGUCAGUUAUUGUUAUUAAGAAAAGUUAUCUUCUUGGUGGAAGAUAAUUGAAUGAAGGUGGGUUUCUUUGUUUGGGAAGUUGCUUGGGAUAGGAUUUUGAUGAUUGAUCAGCACAAAAGGAGGGAAUGGGUUAUGCUGAACAGGUGUUUCAUGUGCAAAAUGGAUUAGAAUCGGUUGAUCACAUCCUCCUUCAUUGCCCUAAGGUAAGCAUUUUGUGGCAGCUAAUUUUUUGCUGUUUGGAGUGGUUUGGGUGCUGCAUGCUACAGUGAGGAAUCAUUCUCAGUUGGCAUGGACCUUUCGUAGGAAAGAAACGGAAAAAGGGUUGGAUGGUAGGCCCUUUGUGUGUGUUUUGAAUUUUUUGGUGAGAGAGAAAUAUGAGAUCUUUUGAAGAUGUGGAACGGUUGGACCAAACAAUCAAAUCUGCUUUUAUGAGUACUUAAAUGGAAUAGGUGAUUGAUCUUAAACCAUGAUAAGCUUUGUUGAUUGGCUUGGCUCCAAGGGAGAACAUUCUUUUUUCUGGUUUUCUUUCUUCCUUUGUCCUCCUAUUGGUGUCUAUUGUAUGCAUCUGUGUACCUUGGUGGGCCCUCUUUUUAGUUGUUGAUCAUAUACUUUCUCUUUGCCUGUUAGGGAAAAAACCAAAAGAUAGUUGCACAAUUUGGAAUUUGGGGCUCUAAGAAACAGCAAAAAUAAAAACGAGGACAUGGCUUGAAUUCCAAUUACUAGUACAUUAUCAUUCACUGACAAGAAAUAAAUCAAACUAGAAACAUGUGGAUUUAUUUUCUUGUUUCUGUUCUCUGUGUCCUCCACCAUACCACUGUUGGCAACAUUUACUGGCUUUCUUAUACUUCUCAUCAUGUUGUUUUUUAUUAUUAAUAUCUGAUAGCAGUGAUGAUAUUUGUAGCAAGAGAAUUGCUAUUCUGUUUGUAUGGCUUCGCUAAUGUCCUCUUCUUCCUUGGUAACAGAUGGUGCUGGUGGUAAGGGAACAUGGGGAAAACUGCUUGACACUGAUGGUGAGUCACAUAUUGAUCGAAAUGAUCCCAACUAUGAUAGCGGCGAGGUAUUUGCUUUUCUAAUUCAAUCAACCCUUCUCAUGCUUUUUGAUUUCUUAUACUAAUUAUGUGAAUGGCUAUAGUCCCAUCCUUCUCCUGCAGUGGAAUGGAGCUAUUACUGCUAUUACUGAGCUUAAAUAAUUUCAUUCCUUGAUUUCAACAGGAACCGUAUCAGCUUGUUGGGUCCACGAUUUCAGACCCCUUAGAUGAAUAUAAGAAAGCAGUGGUUUCCAUCAUAGAAGAAUAUUUCAGCACUGGUGAUGUGGAAUUGGCUGCAUCUGACCUCAGGGAACUGGGAUCAAAUGAAUAUCAUCCCUACUUCAUUAAGAGGCUUGUUUCUAUGGCCAUGGACAGACAUGAUAAGGAGAAAGAAAUGGCCUCAGUUCUGCUUUCAGCUCUUUAUGCUGAUGUCAUCAGCUCUGCCCAGAUUAGCCAAGGGUUUUUCAUACUUCUCGAGUCUGCUGAUGACCUUGCAGUGGAUAUACUGGAUGCAGUUGAUGUUCUUGCUUUGUUUAUUGCUCGUGCUGUGGUCGAUGACAUCCUUCCUCCAGCUUUCCUUACUAGGGCAAAAAAAACACUCCCUGAGUCCUCCAAGGGACAUCAGGUUAUCCAAACCGCUGAGAAGAGCUAUCUCUCUGCUCCACACCAUGCAGAACUUGUGGAAAGAAGAUGGGGUGGUAGCACCCAUAUUACUGUGGAGGAAGUGAAGAAAAAGAUUGCUGAUCUAUUGAGAGAAUACGUGGAGAGUGGAGAUGCUUUUGAGGCAUGUAGGUGCAUAAGGGAGCUAGGGGUUUCAUUCUUCCACCAUGAGGUUGUGAAGAGAGCCCUAGUUCUUGCCAUGGAGAUCCGGACAGCAGAACCAUUAAUACUGAAGCUAUUGAAAGAAGCGGCAGAGGAAGGCUUGAUAAGUUCUAGUCAAAUGCUUAAGGGGUUUGCUCGGUUAGCAGAGAGCCUUGAUGAUCUUGCCCUUGACAUUCCAUCGGCAAAAACCUUGUUUGAGUUGCUAGUUCCAAAGGCAAUCUCUCAAGGAUGGCUUGAUGCCUCAUUUCUGAAACCUGCAGGUGAAGAUGGGGAAGUACACAAU